This 415-nucleotide ribosomal RNA is filed under the name uncultured prokaryote. RNAcentral describes it as "bacterial SSU rRNA". It matches the Rfam family "Bacterial small subunit ribosomal RNA", at positions 505 to 918 of the family's 1533-position model. The record is from RNAcentral.
GUGCCAGCAGCCGCGGUAAUACGUAGGAGGCAAGCGUUAUCCGGAUUUAUUGGGCGUACAGAGAGUGUAGGCGGCUCGUCAAGUCGAAUGUAAAAUCUUCCGGCUUAACUGGAAGGGAUCAUUCGAUACUGACGGACUGGAGUGCAGUAGAGGAAAGCGGAAUUCCCGGUGUAGUGGUGAAAUGCGUAGAUAUCGGGAGGAACACCAGUGGCGAAGGCGGCUUUCUAGGCUGCUACUGACGCUGAGGCUCGAAAGCGUGGGGAGCAAACAGGAUUAGAUACCCUGGUAGUCCACGCUGUAAACUAUGGACACUAGGUAUGGGGAGUAUCGACCCUUCCCGUGCCGAAGUUAACGCAUUAAGUGUCCCGCCUGGGGAGUACGGUCGCAAGACUAAAACUUAAAGGAAUUGGCGGGG